Molecule: ribosomal RNA, 460 nt
Filed under: uncultured bacterium
Lineage: Bacteria
Description: partial 16S ribosomal RNA
Rfam family: Bacterial small subunit ribosomal RNA
Source: RNAcentral
CCUACGGGUGGCAGCAGUGAGGAAUAUUGGUCAAUGGGCGCGAGCCUGAACCAGCCAAGUCGCGUGAAGGAUGACGGCCCUACGGGUUGUACACUUCUUUUGUCAGGGAGCAAAUGGGUCCACGCGUGGGCUUAGCGAGAGUACCUGAAGAAAAAGCAACGGCUAACUCCGUGCCAGCACCCGAGGUAAUACGGAGAAUGCGAGCUUUAGCCGGAUUUCUUGGGUUUAAAGGGUGCGUAGGCGGAAUAUCAAGUCAGCGGUAAAAAUUCGGGGUUCAACCCCGUCGUGCCGUUGAAACUGAUGUUCUUGAGUGGGCGGGAAGUAUGCGGAAUGCGUGGUGUAGCGGUGAAAUGCAUAGAUAUCACGCAGAACUCCGAUUGCGAAGGCAGCAUACCGGCGCCCAACUGACGCUGAAGCACGAAAGCGUGGGUAUCGAACAGGAUUAGAUACCCGUGUAGUC